Molecule: long non-coding RNA, 179 nt
Organism: Oncorhynchus tshawytscha (Chinook salmon)
Lineage: Eukaryota; Metazoa; Chordata; Actinopteri; Salmoniformes; Salmonidae
Exons: 3
Source: RefSeq, a predicted model, not a curated record
GGACUUAAGAGUUCACCCGUUACUGUUUAACAUCGGCAUCAACCAGCAACAGAGUCUAGCCGAGAGGUUCGGAGACAGUUCUCUCCAAGAAAGGAUCAACCUCAGAAGCUGUGAGAUGUUGAAGUCCUACUACAAGACCCUGAGAGACAAACUACCCAACUUGACCCUGCCCUGUUCCC